CCUACGGGUGGCUGCAGUGGGGGAUAUUGCACAAUGGGGGGAACCCUGAUGCAGCGACGCCGCGUGUGGGAAGACGGUCCUCUGGAUUUUAAACCACUGUCCCCAGGGACGAAAAUGACGUUACCUGUGGAGGAAGCUCCGGCUAACUACGGGCAAGCAGCCGCGGUAAUACGUAGGGAGCGAGCGUUUUCCGGAUGUACUGGGUGUAAGGGGAGCGUAGGCGGGGAUGCAAGUUGGGUGUAAAAACUACCGGCUCAACUGGUAGGCGCGGUUGAAACUGCAGAGCUUGAGUGAAGUAGAGGCAGGUGGAAUUCCUAGUGUAGCGGUGAAAUGCGUAGAUAUUAGGAGGAACACCAGUGGCGAAGGCGGCUUGCUGGGCUUUUACUGACGCUGAGGCUCGAAAGUGUGGGGAGCAAACAGGAUUAGAUACCUUUGUAGUC
RNAcentral lists this ribosomal RNA (440 nucleotides) under uncultured bacterium. Its description in RNAcentral is "partial 16S ribosomal RNA". It matches the Rfam family "Bacterial small subunit ribosomal RNA", at positions 338 to 795 of the family's 1533-position model. The record is from RNAcentral.